AUUAACUUUAUAAGAUAUCAAAUGAUAAACAAUCUGUCAAAAAAAAAUAAAAGUUAUGUCAGCAAUGAUAAUAUGCUACGUCAAAAAAAAUAAAACAAUGUGCAAAUUAUAUACUUCCUAACUAAUCCCUCCCAAUGCCAACAUCUUUGUUGAUUUAGUAGACAAACUACGGAAAAUUUCUUAAAUCAUUUCUUUCAACAAUUUAUGAGCGCAAUCCCAUCUGCCAUUACGACAAAGACCGACUAUUACAGAAUUACGUGUUUGCUCUUAUCCCCUUUCUUUCCAUUUUACUUGAAAGUUUCAAUGCUUCAUCUAGUUGUUGUUUUUGGCAGAGAGAGUGAAUGAUUGCACUGAACAUGAUAAUUGACACACUACAAAAAAAAAGUAUUUUGAAUCGCUUAUUUUUUAUAUUUGCAUCAAUUAUAAUUGAUGCAAAUGAGUUUUAUAUCACUUUUAUAAGUGACUCUGAAAUUGGUGAUGCAAAUUAUGUGCAUCGUUUCAAAUAAUUUUGCAUUAAUUGCAAACAAUGAUGUUAAUUUUACACAAAUAAUAUAAAUGAUAUUAGUAUUUGCAUCAAUUUAUCAAAAUAACGUUAAUAAUUGUUAUGGUA
RNAcentral lists this small RNA (610 nucleotides) under Arabidopsis thaliana (thale cress). Its description in RNAcentral is "ATSL008290". Lineage: Eukaryota; Viridiplantae; Streptophyta; Magnoliopsida; Brassicales; Brassicaceae. The record is from RNAcentral.